Molecule: ribosomal RNA, 481 nt
Filed under: uncultured bacterium
Lineage: Bacteria
Description: partial 16S ribosomal RNA
Rfam family: Bacterial small subunit ribosomal RNA
Source: RNAcentral
GAUGAACGCUGGCGGCGUGCUUAACACAUGCAAGUCGAACGAAGCACUUUAUUUGAUUUCCUUCGGGACUGAUUAUUUUGUGACUGAGUGGCGGACGGGUGAGUAACGCGUGGGUAACCUGCCUUGUACAGGGGGAUAACAGUUGGAAACGGCUGCUAAUACCGCAUAAGCGCACGGCAUCGCAUGAUGCAGUGUGAAAAACUCCGGUGGUAUAAGAUGGACCCGCGUUGGAUUAGCUAGUUGGUGAGGUAACGGCCCACCAAGGCGACGAUCCAUAGCCGACCUGAGAGGGUGACCGGCCACAUUGGGACUGAGACACGGCCCAAACUCCUACGGGAGGCAGCAGUGGGGAAUAUUGCACAAUGGGCGAAAGCCUGAUGCAGCGACGCCGCGUGAGCGAAGAAGUAUUGCGGUAUGUAAAGCUCUAUCAGCAGGGAAGAUAAUGACGGUACCUGACUAAGAAGCACCGGCUAAAUACGUG